UGCGUAACGCGUAUGCAACCUACCUUCUACAGGGGGAUAGCCCAGAGAAAUUUGGAAUAAUACCCCAUACGAUCAUUAAUCGGCAUCGAUUGAUGAAGAAAACUCCGGUGGUAGAAGAUGGGCAUGCGUCCUAUUAGUUAGUUGGUGAGGUAACGGCUCACCAAGACGUCGAUAGGUAGGGGUCCUGAGAGGGAGAUCCCCCACACUGGUACUGAGACACGGACCAGACUCCUACGGGAGGCAGCAGUGAGGAAUAUUGGACAAUGGAGGCAACUCUGAUCCAGCCAUGCCGCGUGCAGGAAGACGGCCCUAUGGGUUGUAAACUGCUUUUAUACAGGAAGAAUUGUACCUACGUGUAGGUAUUUGACGGUACUGUACGAAUAAGGAUCGGCUAACUCCGUGCCAGCAGCCGCGGUAAUACGGAGGAUCCAAGCGUUAUCCGGAAUCAUUGGGUUUAAAGGGUCCGUAGGCGGUCUGAUAAGUCAGAGGUGAAAUCCUGCAGCUCAACUGUAGCAUUGCCUUUGAUACUGUUAGACUUGAGUUAUUGUGAAGUAGUUAGAAUGUGUAGUGUAGCGGUGAAAUG
RNAcentral lists this ribosomal RNA (583 nucleotides) under bacterium MS-F-50. Its description in RNAcentral is "bacterial SSU rRNA". It matches the Rfam family "Bacterial small subunit ribosomal RNA", at positions 107 to 688 of the family's 1533-position model. The record is from RNAcentral.